AUCCGGCUGACGAGUCUCAAACAGGACGAAACGCGCUUCCUGGAU
Schistosoma curassoni is the source of this 45-nucleotide non-coding RNA. Lineage: Eukaryota; Metazoa; Platyhelminthes; Trematoda; Strigeidida; Schistosomatidae. The record is from Rfam.